Molecule: long non-coding RNA, 881 nt
Organism: Cydia pomonella (codling moth)
Lineage: Eukaryota; Metazoa; Arthropoda; Insecta; Lepidoptera; Tortricidae
Exons: 3
Source: RefSeq, a predicted model, not a curated record
AAUAUCAUAGAAGGGAAAAUAAAAGGAAAGAGGAAGAGGAACACCGAGAAAAAAACUAGACAACUACGAGCCAGACUCGGUAGUUCGAAAAACUCGCGCGGCUAGAAGAUGUUGAUGUCAACUUUAGCCUGUCUUCUCCGAGACCACGGGGACAACGUCGUCCUCGAAACGUCGGAGGUAAAUUUAAAACUUAAUACGCGAUUAAGUCCCGUUUGUGUUAGUUAAUAAUGUAGAAAAAUGUAAUUUCAUAUUAGUCAUAUUAAUUAAUCUUGCUGACAAAUUGGUAGAGUAAAAAGCUCACGUAAAACUGGUUUGACUCUAACAUAUAAUAUUGAAAAAAAAAACCUCCCCUAAUUAUUAGGUUUUUGGAUCCGGGUAUGUCCUUAAACUACGUCCACAAGAGAGGUAUGCGCAAUGUGAAUGUCAUCUCGCCUUGUGUGGUAGGGCACAGCACAGCGGAUGUCAUUCCAGAUCUAGAGCAGAGCCCAACUGGGGAAGUACCUCCACCUUACAGAAAACCGCAGCCAAAUAACACUAGACCCUACUCAUAGUGUUGUGUUCCUGCCGGUUAGUAAGGUUGCCAGAGCUCAACGAGGGGCGGGAGGGGGUUAGGGUCGGCAACGCGCAUGUAACUCCUCUGGAGUUGCAGGCGCACAUAGGCUACGGAUACUGCUUACCAUCAGGCGAGCCGUAUGCUUGUUUGCCACCGACGUAGUAUAAAAAAAAAUGUAAAGGCGACGAAAUGUAUUGUACCAACUUCCAACGCUACCACAUGGUGGGGAACCACAUUAAUAGUAAAAGAAAAAAUCUGGAACAACUAUCAAAGUCAACCUAUUAUACGGAACAAUACAAUGCAUGAAACCUACACCGAAAACUCCAGU